Molecule: transfer RNA, 73 nt
Filed under: Gavia stellata (red-throated loon)
Lineage: Eukaryota; Metazoa; Chordata; Aves; Gaviiformes; Gaviidae
Rfam family: tRNA
About the family: Transfer RNA (tRNA) molecules are approximately 80 nucleotides in length. Their secondary structure includes four short double-helical elements and three loops (D, anti-codon, and T loops). Further hydrogen bonds mediate the characteristic L-shaped molecular structure. tRNAs have two regions of fundamental functional importance: the anti-codon, which is responsible for specific mRNA codon recognition, and the 3' end, to which the tRNAs corresponding amino acid is attached (by aminoacyl-tRNA synthetases). tRNAs cope with the degeneracy of the genetic code in two manners: having more than one tRNA (with a specific anti-codon) for a particular amino acid; and 'wobble' base-pairing, i.e. permitting non-standard base-pairing at the 3rd anti-codon position.
Source: Rfam by way of RNAcentral
GUUUCUGUAGUGUAGUGGUUAUCACGUUCGCCUAACACGCGAAAGGUCCCUGGUUCGGUUCCAGGCAGAAACA